RNAcentral lists this long non-coding RNA (257 nucleotides) under Marmota monax (woodchuck). Lineage: Eukaryota; Metazoa; Chordata; Mammalia; Rodentia; Sciuridae. The record is from RNAcentral.
GAGGAAUGUAUACAGAAGUUCAUCGAAGUUGAUCAGGCAUGGAAAAUUCUAGGGAAUGAAGAGACAAAAAAAGAGUAUGACCUGCAGCGGCAUGAAGAUGAGUUAAGAAAUUUGGGUCCAGUAGAUGCUCAAGUAUAUCUUGAAGAAAUGUCUUGGAACAAAGAUGAUCAUUCUUUUUUUCUGAGUUGCCGAUGUGGUGGAAAAUACAGUGUUUCCAAAGAUGAAGCAGAAGAAGUUAACCUGAUUUCUUGUGAUNN